This 1013-nucleotide ribosomal RNA is filed under the name Staphylococcus aureus. RNAcentral describes it as "bacterial SSU rRNA". It matches the Rfam family "Bacterial small subunit ribosomal RNA", at positions 43 to 1035 of the family's 1533-position model. Lineage: Bacteria; Bacillati; Bacillota; Bacilli; Caryophanales; Staphylococcaceae. The record is from RNAcentral.
CGUGCCUAAUACAUGCAAGUCGAGCGAACGGACGAGAAGCUUGCUUCUCUGAUGUUAGCGGCGGACGGGUGAGUAACACGUGGAUAACCUACCUAUAAGACUGGGAUAACUUCGGGAAACCGGAGCUAAUACCGGAUAAUAUUUUGAACCGCAUGGUUCAAAAGUAAAAGACGGUCUUGCUGUCACUUAUAGAUGGAUCCGCGCUGCAUUAGCUAGUUGGUAAGGUAACGGCUUACCAAGGCAACGAUGCAUAGCCGACCUGAGAGGGUGAUCGGCCACACUGGAACUGAGACACGGUCCAGACUCCUACGGGAGGCAGCAGUAGGGAAUCUUCCGCAAUGGGCGAAAGCCUGACGGAGCAACGCCGCGUGAGUGAUGAAGGUCUUCGGAUCGUAAAACUCUGUUAUUAGGGAAGAACAUAUGUGUAAGUAACUGUGCACAUCUUGACGGUACCUAAUCAGAAAGCCACGGCUAACUACGUGCCAGCAGCCGCGGUAAUACGUAGGUGGCAAGCGUUAUCCGGAAUUAUUGGGCGUAAAGCGCGCGUAGGCGGUUUUUUAAGUCUGAUGUGAAAGCCCACGGCUCAACCGUGGAGGGUCAUUGGAAACUGGAAAACUUGAGUGCAGAAGAGGAAAGUGGAAUUCCAUGUGUAGCGGUGAAAUGCGCAGAGAUAUGGAGGAACACCAGUGGCGAAGGCGACUUUCUGGUCUGUAACUGACGCUGAUGUGCGAAAGCGUGGGGAUCAAACAGGAUUAGAUACCCUGGUAGUCCACGCCGUAAACGAUGAGUGCUAAGUGUUAGGGGGUUUCCGCCCCUUAGUGCUGCAGCUAACGCAUUAAGCACUCCGCCUGGGGAGUACGACCGCAAGGUUGAAACUCAAAGGAAUUGACGGGGACCCGCACAAGCGGUGGAGCAUGUGGUUUAAUUCGAAGCAACGCGAAGACCCUUACCAAAUCUUGACAUCCUUUGACAACUCUAGAGAUAGAGCCUUCCCCUUCGGGGGACAAAGUGAC